GACGAACGCUGGCGGCGUGCUUAACACAUGCCAGUCGAACGGAAAGGCCCCUUUGGGGGUCCUCGAGUGGCGAACGGGUGAGUAACACGUGAGUAACCUGCCCUUGACUUCGGGAUAACUUCAGGAAACUGGGGCUAAUACCGGAUAGGAAUCCUUGCUGCAUGGUGGGGGUUGGAAAGCUUCGGCGGUUUUGGAUGGACUCGCGGCUUAUCAGCUUGUUGGUGGGGUAGUGGCUUACCAAGGCUUUGACGGGUAGCCGGCCUGAGAGGGCGACCGGCCACAUUGGGACUGAGAUACGGCCCAGACUCCUACGGGAGGCAGCAGUGGGGAAUAUUGCACAAUGGGCGGAAGCCUGAUGCAGCAACGCCGCGGGCGGGAUGACGGCCUUCGGGUUGUAAACCGCUUUCAGCAGGGGCGAAGCUUGUGGUGACGGUACCUGCAGAAGAAGCACCGGCUAACUACGUG
This 465-nucleotide ribosomal RNA is filed under the name uncultured bacterium. RNAcentral describes it as "partial 16S ribosomal RNA". It matches the Rfam family "Bacterial small subunit ribosomal RNA", at positions 28 to 507 of the family's 1533-position model. The record is from RNAcentral.